RNAcentral lists this ribosomal RNA (773 nucleotides) under uncultured Neocallimastigales. Its description in RNAcentral is "partial large subunit ribosomal RNA". It matches the Rfam family "Eukaryotic large subunit ribosomal RNA", at positions 24 to 642 of the family's 3401-position model. The record is from RNAcentral. Lineage: Eukaryota; Fungi; Neocallimastigomycota; Neocallimastigomycetes; Neocallimastigales.
UACGACUACAUAUCAGGCAUAUCAAUAAGCGGAGGAAAAGAAACUAACUAGGAUUCCCUCAGUAACGGCGAGUGAAGCGGGAAGAGCUCAAAUUUGAAAUCUUCAAGGUUUUACCUUGACGAAUUGUAGUUUAAAGAAGUGUUUUCUGUUGGAGUUUUGGUAAAAGUUCUUUGGAAUAGGACAUCAUAGAGGGUGAGAAUCCCGUAUUUGACCAUUAUUUCCAGCUUUGUGAUACACUUUCAAAGAGUCGGAUUGUUUGGGAAUGCAGUCCAAAAUGGGUGGUAAAUUUCAUCUAAAGCUAAAUAUUGGCGAGAGACCGAUAGCGAACAAGUACCGUGAGGGAAAGAUGAAAAGAACUUUGAAAAGAGAGUUAAACAGUACGUGAAAUUGUCAAAAGGGAAGCGUUUGACACCAGUGUUGUUUCUACGAAAAUCAAUUUAUGAUGGCUUGAUGCUAAGCUUUAAGACCUUAUCCGCUUGUUGUUUAGUUUUCUUGUCUUUGUGAAUGCACUUUUCGUGGAACAAGUCAACAUCAAUUUCUUUUGCUGUAAAAGGGUAAGAGGAAGGUGGCUUCGGCUUCGGUUGAAGUGUUUAUAGCCUUUUAUCUCUGCAGUCGGAGAGAUUGAGGUCUGCAGCGUAGACUCUUCGGGGUUAGAUACGUCGGUGCUAAGCUAUAGCUUUUCAUAGACAACUUGUUGACUAUGUUUAGUCAUGUGGCUUACCCGCUGGCGCUAUUUUACCUACGCUUAGGAUGUUGAGCGCAUGUCUCUCUCU